This is a long non-coding RNA of Pseudophryne corroboree (corroboree frog), 832 nucleotides long. RefSeq lists it as uncharacterized. The transcript is spliced from 2 exons. NCBI's taxonomy places the organism in Eukaryota, Metazoa, Chordata, Amphibia, Anura, Myobatrachidae. The record is from RefSeq and is a predicted model, not a curated record.
GUGGUUAUGGCUGCUACUCUUGGCUACUUACUCCAUUGUCCCAACCUGAUUCUCCUGCUGAACACAGUUACAAUCAUGCAUAUAAGUCUACGCGGAACGUGAUAGAAAGAUGUUUUGGGGUGCUGAAAUCUAGGUUUCGGUGUCUGGAUAAAUCUGCUGGGCUUUUGUUGUAUAGUCCCUCUAAAGUGACUAGGAUUGUGUUCUGCUGCUGUUUUCUCCAUAAUCUGUGUUUGCAACAACAUCUGCCACAUAAUGAUGAAGAAAACAGUCAGCAAGCAGAGGAGUUAGAAACAUCUGGUGACAGUGUGAGUACAGAUGUAGGGAGGCAGGUAAGGCAAGAAGUUAUUCAGCGAUAUUUUACCCACAGCUGAGGUGAUCGUGGCUCAUCACUUUGAGGACUUGCCAAAAUUUCCAGAGGUGGCUGGGGCAACACUGCGGAGAUGCGCCGCCUGGGUGGUGAAGAUGGAGCCGCAGACUCAGACUCCACACGACGUGUCUUACUGGGCCUCCUAGGCAAACUCACAGAGCCCUGUGAUGGCCGCCUUAGAGGAGGGCGGCUUGCAGAAGAAGAACCUAUGUGAAAAGAAAAACAUUAUUAUUUUUUUGCUUCUAUGUGUUUGCCGAAUAUGUGAAUACAGUGAAUUCUUACCUGCAUUCCCACCAUCAUCAUCAGUUGGCUGUGGCCUGUGUGUGGUGCUUCUCUGGCGUACUGUUGAUACAUUUGAAAAAACAUUAUGACCAUACUUUAAAUACUCCUUGUUAUCUGAACUUCCUUAUUGUGAUGUAAACAUCUGGAACCUAAUGUUAAGUAAACUAUUUUUUGUUUAAGCUA